This 705-nucleotide ribosomal RNA is filed under the name Amycolatopsis sp. L1742. Its description in RNAcentral is "bacterial SSU rRNA". It matches the Rfam family "Bacterial small subunit ribosomal RNA", at positions 24 to 744 of the family's 1533-position model. The record is from RNAcentral. Lineage: Bacteria; Bacillati; Actinomycetota; Actinomycetes; Pseudonocardiales; Pseudonocardiaceae.
UCAGGACGAACGCUGGCGGCGUGCUUAACACAUGCAAGUCGAACGCUGAAGCACCUUCGGGUGUGGAUGAGUGGCGAACGGGUGAGUAACACGUGGGUAAUCUGCCCUGCACUCUGGGAUAAGCCUUGGAAACGGGGUCUAAUACCGGAUAUCACAACUUCAGGCAUCUGGGGUUGUUGAAAGUUCUGGCGGUGCAGGAUGAACCCGCGGCCUAUCAGCUUGUUGGUGGGGUAAUGGCCUACCAAGGCGACGACGGGUAGCCGGCCUGAGAGGGUGACCGGCCACACUGGGACUGAGACACGGCCCAGACUCCUACGGGAGGCAGCAGUGGGGAAUAUUGCACAAUGGGCGCAAGCCUGAUGCAGCGACGCCGCGUGAGGGAUGACGGCCUUCGGGUUGUAAACCUCUUUCGCCAGGGACGAAGCGCAAGUGACGGUACCUGGAUAAGAAGCACCGGCUAACUACGUGCCAGCAGCCGCGGUAAUACGUAGGGUGCGAGCGUUGUCCGGAAUUAUUGGGCGUAAAGAGCUCGUAGGCGGUUUGUCGCGUCGGCCGUGAAAUCUCCACGCUUAACGUGGAGCGUGCGGUCGAUACGGGCAGACUUGAGUUCGGUAGGGGAGACUGGAAUUCCUGGUGUAGCGGUGAAAUGCGCAGAUAUCAGGAGGAACACCGGUGGCGAAGGCGGGUCUCUGGGCCGAUACUGAC